GUCCACGCUGUAAACGAUGGAUACUCGUUAUUGGGGUUUCGGCUUCAGUGACUAAGCAAAAGUGAUAAGUAUCCCACCUGGGGAGUACGCUCGCAAGGGUGAAACUCAAAGGAAUUGACGGGGCCCGCACAAGCGGUGGAGCAUGUGGUUUAAUUCGAUGGUACGCGAGGAACCUUACCUAGACUCGAAUGGUGUAUGAACGUCUCAGAAAUGGGAUUUCCAGCAAUGGUAUAUAUCAAGGUGCUGCAUGGUUGUCGU
RNAcentral lists this ribosomal RNA (258 nucleotides) under uncultured bacterium. RNAcentral's name for it is "partial 16S ribosomal RNA". It matches the Rfam family "Bacterial small subunit ribosomal RNA", at positions 793 to 1055 of the family's 1533-position model. The record is from RNAcentral.